Molecule: ribosomal RNA, 492 nt
Filed under: uncultured bacterium
Lineage: Bacteria
Description: partial 16S ribosomal RNA
Rfam family: Bacterial small subunit ribosomal RNA
Source: RNAcentral
AGUGAACGCUGGCGGUAGGCCUAACACAUGCAAGUCGAACGGCAGCACAGUGAGAGCUUGCUCUUACGGGUGGCGAGUGGCGGACGGGUGAGGAAUACAUCGGAAUCUACUUUUUCGUGGGGGAUAACGUAGGGAAACUUACGCUAAUACCGCAUACGACCUACGGGUGAAAGCAGGGGGUCUUCGGACCUUGCGCGAUUGAAUGAGCCGAUGUCGGAUUAGCUAGUUGGCGGGGUAAAGGCCCACCAAGGCGACGAUCCGUAGCUGGUCUGAGAGGAUGAUCAGCCACACUGGAACUGAGACACGGUCCAGACUCCUACGGGAGGCAGCAGUGGGGAAUAUUGGACAAUGGGCGCAAGCCUGAUCCAGCCAUACCGCGUGGGUGAAGAAGGCCUUCGGGUUGUAAAGCCCUUUUGUUGGGAAAGAAAAGCAGCAGGUUAAUACCCCGCUGUUCUGACGGUACCCAAAGAAUAAGCACCGGCUAACUUCGUG